This 245-nucleotide ribosomal RNA is filed under the name uncultured bacterium. RNAcentral's name for it is "partial 16S ribosomal RNA". It matches the Rfam family "Bacterial small subunit ribosomal RNA", at positions 796 to 1041 of the family's 1533-position model. The record is from RNAcentral.
CACGCUGUAAACGGUGAACACUAGGUGUAGGGGGUAUCCAUUCCCUCUGUGCCGUCGUUAACACUUUAAGUGUUCCGCCUGGGAAGUACGGCCGCAAGGUUGAAACUCAAAGGAAUUGACGGGGGCCCGCACAAGCGGUGGAGCAUGUGGUUUAAUUCGACGCAACGCGAAGAACCUUACCUGGGCUCGAACGGUAGCUUACAUGGGAUGAAAGUCCCUGCCCGCAAGGGGUGCUAUCGAGGUGC